GAUGAACGCUGGCGGCGUGCCUAAUACAUGCAAGUCGAGCGAACGGACGAGAAGCUUGCUUCUCUGAUGUUAGCGGCGGACGGGUGAGUAACACGUGGAUAACCUACCUAUAAGACUGGGAUAACUUCGGGAAACCGGAGCUAAUACCGGAUGAUAUUUUGAACCGCAUGGUUCAAAAGUGAAAGCCGGUCUUGCUGUCACUUAUAGAUGGAUCCGCGCUGCAUUAGCUAGUUGGUAAGGUAACGGCUUACCAAGGCAACGAUGCAUAGCCGACCUGAGAGGGUGAUCGGCCACACUGGAACUGAGACACGGUCCAGACUCCUACGGGAGGCAGCAGUAGGGAAUCUUCCGCAAUGGGCGAAAGCCUGACGGAGCAACGCCGCGUGAGUGAUGAAGGUCUUCGGAUCGUAAAACUCUGUUAUUAGGGAAGAACAUAUGUGUAAGUAACUGUGCACAUCUUGACGGUACCUAAUCAGAAAGCCACGGCUAACUACGUG
Molecule: ribosomal RNA, 497 nt
Filed under: uncultured bacterium
Lineage: Bacteria
Description: partial 16S ribosomal RNA
Rfam family: Bacterial small subunit ribosomal RNA
Source: RNAcentral